RNAcentral lists this ribosomal RNA (460 nucleotides) under uncultured bacterium. RNAcentral describes it as "partial 16S ribosomal RNA". It matches the Rfam family "Bacterial small subunit ribosomal RNA", at positions 338 to 795 of the family's 1533-position model. The record is from RNAcentral.
CCUACGGGAGGCAGCAGUGAGGAAUAUUGGUCAAUGGCCGUAAGCCUGAACCAGCCAAGUCGCGUGAGGGAUGAAUGCCCUAUGGAUUGUAAACCUCUUUUAUAAGGGAAUAAAGUUUGGCACGUGUGCUAUUUUGCAUGUACCUCAUGAAUAAGGACCGGCUAAUUCCGUGCCAGCAGCCGCGGUAAUACGGAGGGUCCGAGCGUUAUCCGGAUUUAUUGGGUUUAAGGGGAGCGUAGGCGGGCCUUUAAGCUAGCGGUGAAAGUUUGUGGCUCAACCAUGGGAUUGCGGAGGGAACUGGAGACCUUGAGUGUGUGGAAGGCAGGCGGAAUGCGUGGUGUAGCGGUGAAAUGCUUAGAUAUCACGAAGAACCCCGAUUGCGAAGGCAGCCUGCCGAAGCGUGACUGACGCUGAAGCACGAAAGCGUGGGUAUCGAACAGGAUUAGAUACCCGAGUAGUC